GCCUAACACAUGCAAGUCGAACGGCAGCAGCAGAGCUUGCUCUGGCUGGCAGUGGCGGACGGGUGAGUAACGCGUAGGAAUCUACCCAGUAGCGGGGGAAGCCCGGGGAAACUCGGAUCAAUACCGCAUACGCCCUACGGGGGAAAGCGGGGAUCUUCGGACCUCGCACUAUUGGAGGAGCCUGCGUUGGAUUAGGUGUUGGUGGGGUAAAAGCCUACCAAGGCGACGAUCCAUAGCUGGUCUGAGGGACGAUCAGCCACACUGGAACUGAGACACGGUCCAGACUCCUACGGGAGCAGCAGUAGGGAAUCUUGUGCAAUGGGGGAAACCCUGACACAGCCAUGCGCGUGUGUGAAGAAGGCCUUAGGGUUGUAAAGCACUCUCAGUAGGGAAACACAGCAGGGCUAAUACCUCUGUGGAAAUGACAUUACCUACAGAAGAAUCGCGGGCUACCUCCGUGCCACCCGCCCGCGGUAAU
This 478-nucleotide ribosomal RNA is filed under the name uncultured bacterium. RNAcentral describes it as "bacterial SSU rRNA". It matches the Rfam family "Bacterial small subunit ribosomal RNA", at positions 46 to 524 of the family's 1533-position model. The record is from RNAcentral.